This 1293-nucleotide long non-coding RNA is filed under the name Equus caballus (horse). Its description in RNAcentral is "lncRNA (ENSECAG00000044759.1)". The record is from RNAcentral. Lineage: Eukaryota; Metazoa; Chordata; Mammalia; Perissodactyla; Equidae.
AGACUAAUUAAAUCAAAAUCUCUGGGGGUGGGGCUCAGACAGCAGCAGUUUUUAAAGCCCCCAGGUGAUUCCAACAUGCGGCCAAGGCUGGGAGCCACUUUUCUAAUUUGUGAAGCCAGAAGCAGCAGCAAGAAAGUUUGACUCUGGAGCCUGGGCUCUGCAUGCUAAAAUAGACCACUCCCAGCACUGGCUGCACAUCAGGCAGGAGUCGGAUUUGCCCUCCAACUGGGUCUGAUCAUCCAGUGGCCUAAAGUUUACGGGAGAAGCAAACCAAAUGACUGAAAACAGUCCAGGAGAUGUGUUUGUGUGCAUUCGCCAUAAAAAGUAAAGAAGAAAGUUUCCUCCCCAAGAACUGAACACACAGUCUGAGGUUCUGUUCUGCAGGACAGCAGGUUGCCACUGAAAUGGCAAUUGGUCAUAUAUACGUGGCUCUGAGGGCUCCUUAAGAACUUGGACUCUUCAGAAGGACGUCGGGUGAAAAGUUCACAGCACAAGUUUUCAGGUUCAUGAACAGUAGAAUCCCCUCACGACACCAAACAGUGAGGAGCAGUUGGACUGGCAGCUCACCCCGAGGCAGUAAUUUUAUGUCCCAGCCUUUAGUUUUGCUUGCUAACAACAUCAUCUAGGGGUUACGGGACUGAAUCUCUUUUUUUCCCUCCCAUGCGUGGUUUGGAAAGGGCUCCUAAAAGGUUCUGCGUUUGCAUAUCACCUAUCCAGCCAUAAAGAUAGACUGACAAAUCUCAGAGCUCCAGCUCCAAAUUCACAGGGAAAGAGCUCUCAGUUAUGGUGGAAUUGUUCAUCUCUCUGUUCUUCAAACGAGUUUGACAGACACUGUGAAUGGCGGGGUUUUUGUCUGAUUGAUUCUGGACUAAUCAAUUGUGAUGGGGGUGGGAUCAUGUUUCUGAAUCCAACUACCUUCCUUCUACCAUGUGAGUGCAGCCCAGGAGUUUUUGCCUAGAAAAGCUUUGGUGGAUAAUAAGACUCCCAUUUGGACAUUUAGUGAUUUGAUAAAAGUCUAGUUAUUUUUCUUAUUCAUUGUGGAAUAUUCCCUUUAUGUGUAUUCUUCUCAUUGUCUUCUCUUUACCUGCCCUCUCCAACUUACAGGUCUUUUUUUUUAUGGUAAAAUCAUGUGCCCAAAUCUUCUUUAUUUACGUUGAAGAGAGUUUUUUGAUUUUGACUGUUCUAUGCAAUUGUAAAUUAAUCAAACUUGUUAAAACUUAGGGCACUGUAUAAAAUAUACCUAAUGUUAGUGUUAAAAGAAAAUACUGUACGGAAAAUAGCAACUUUAAAUAA